GACGAACGCUGGCGGCGUGCUUAACACAUGCAAGUCGAACGGAAAGGCCCUGCUUUUGUGGGGUGCUCGAGUGGCGAACGGGUGAGUAACACGUGAGUAACCUGCCCUUGACUUUGGGAUAACUUCAGGAAACUGGGGCUAAUACCGGAUAGGAGCUCCUGCUGCAUGGUGGGGGUUGGAAAGUUUCGGCGGUUGGGGAUGGACUCGCGGCUUAUCAGCUUGUUGGUGGGGUAGUGGCUUACCAAGGCUUUGACGGGUAGCCGGCCUGAGCGGGUGACCGGCCACGUUGGGACUGAGAUACGGCCCAGACUCCUACGGGAGGCAGCAGUGGGGAAUAUUGCACAAUGGGCGGAAGCCUGAUGCAGCAACGCCGCGUGCGGGAUGACGGCCUUCGGGUUGUAAACCGCUUUCGCCUGUGACGAAGCGUGAGUGACGGUAAUGGGUAAAGAAGCACCGGCUAACUACGUG
RNAcentral lists this ribosomal RNA (468 nucleotides) under uncultured bacterium. Its description in RNAcentral is "partial 16S ribosomal RNA". It matches the Rfam family "Bacterial small subunit ribosomal RNA", at positions 28 to 507 of the family's 1533-position model. The record is from RNAcentral.